UACGUAGGGGGCUAGCGUUGUCCGGAAUCAUUGGGCGUAAAGAGCGUGUAGGCGGCCCGGUAAGUCCGCUGUAAAAGUCAAAGGCUCAACCUUUGAAUGUCAGUGGAUACUGCCGGGCUAGAGUCCGGAAGAGGCGAGUGGAACUCCUGGUGUAGCGGUGGAAUGCGUAGAUAUCAGGAGGAACACCGGUGGCGAAGGCGCACAUCUGGCCCGAUACUGACGCUGAGGCGCGAAAGCUAGGGGAGCAAACGGG
Molecule: ribosomal RNA, 253 nt
Filed under: uncultured bacterium
Lineage: Bacteria
Description: partial 16S ribosomal RNA
Rfam family: Bacterial small subunit ribosomal RNA
Source: RNAcentral